CUGGUUGAUCCUGCCAGUAGUCAUAUGCUUGUCUCAAAGAUUAAGCCAUGCAUGUCUAAGUGUAAAUACGUCUACACUGUGAAACUGCGAAUGGCUCAUUAAAUCAGUUAUCGUUUAUUUGAUGAUCUCUUGUUACAUGGAUAACCGUAGUAAUUCUAGAGCUAAUACAUGCGUCAAGCCCCGACUCACGAAGGGGUGUAUUUAUUAGAUUCAAAGCCAACCGUGUAAAAGCGUACCUUGGUGAUUCAUAAUAACUUGUCGAACCGCACGCCCUUGAGGCAGCGGUGAUUCAUUCAAAUUU
Molecule: ribosomal RNA, 301 nt
Filed under: uncultured eukaryote
Lineage: Eukaryota
Description: SSU rRNA
Rfam family: Eukaryotic small subunit ribosomal RNA
Source: RNAcentral